Molecule: long non-coding RNA, 576 nt
Filed under: Sorghum bicolor (sorghum)
Lineage: Eukaryota; Viridiplantae; Streptophyta; Magnoliopsida; Poales; Poaceae
Description: long non-coding RNA (SBIC_LNC003691)
Source: RNAcentral
CCGGAGGAGCACAAGAUCAUCCAUUACCAGGGAGGACAACAGGUACAGCCGUCAGAGGAAGUCCAAGGGACAUGACGAAGGUUAUCACAUGCACAGACGAAGCCAAGAAGCAGGAGAAGUAUCUCCACCAGAGGAAGGCGGUAGCUACGAAAGGGAGAGAACUUCAGAAGAACCAGGUCGCGGCACUGAUCGGUACCAUCACCAUAGGCAUCACACGGAGGGUACAUAUGAGAGCAGAUACUCACACCACAGGGGUCAUCGCAAGCGCAGACGGAGCCAAGAACUGGGCGAACUAUCUCCACCAGAGGAAGACGUUAGCUAUGAAAAGGAGAGAACUUCAGACGAACCUGGUCGCAGCCCUGAUCGGUACCAUCACCAUCGGCAUCACAGGGAGGAUACAUAUGAGAGCAGACACUCUCACCACAGGGAGGAUACAUAUGAAAGCAGACACUCUCACCACAGGGAUCGCCGACGCCAUGGGGACCGGCAUCACUCCAAGAGAAGCGAAAGCCGAGAUUACAGGGACUAGGCCUCCAGUUACCUAUACUACAUCAAUGUUUCAUUAUGUAAACUCUG